UCCACGGGAGGCAGCAGUGGGGAAUAUUGGACAAUGGGGGGAACCCUGAUCCAGCCAUGCCGCGUGUGUGAAGAAGGCCCUCGGGUUGUAAAGCACUUUCAGCGAGGAAGAACGCCUAGCGGUUAAUACCCGCUAGGAAAGACAUCACUCGCAGAAGAAGCACCGGCUAACUCCGUGCCAGCAGCCGCGGUAAUACGGAGGGUGCAAGCGUUAAUCGGAAUUACUGGGCGUAAAGCGCGCGUAGGUGGCUUGAUAAGCCGGUUGUGAAAGCCCCGGGCUCAACCUGGGAACGGCAUCCGGAACUGUCAAGCUAGAGUGCAGGAGAGGAAGGUAGAAUUCCCGGUGUAGCGGUGAAAUGCGUAGAGAUCGGGAGGAAUACCAGUGGCGAAGGCGGCUUUCUGGACUGACACUGACACUGAGGUGCGAAAGCGUGGGUAGCAAACAGGAUUAGAUACCCUGGUAGUCCACGCCGUAAACGAUGUCGACCAGCCGUUGGGUGCCUAGCGCACUUUGUGGCGAAGUUAACGCGAUAAGUCGACCGCCUGGGGAGUACGGCCGCAAGGUUAAAACUCAAAUGAAUUGACGG
This 586-nucleotide ribosomal RNA is filed under the name uncultured bacterium. RNAcentral's name for it is "bacterial SSU rRNA". It matches the Rfam family "Bacterial small subunit ribosomal RNA", at positions 338 to 916 of the family's 1533-position model. The record is from RNAcentral.